UACGUAGGGGGCAAGCGUUGUCCGGAAUUAUUGGGCGUAAAGCGCGCGCAGGCGGUUUUUUAAGUCUGGUGUAUAACCUUGGGGCUCAACUCCAAGUCGCAUCAGAAACUGGGGAACUGGAGUGUAGGAGAGGAAAGUGGAAUUCCACGUGUAGCGGUGAAAUGCGUAGAUAUGUGGAGGAACACAGUGGCGAAGGCGACUUCUGGCCUAUAACUGACGCUGAGGCGACGAAAGCGUGGGGAGCGAACAGG
This 251-nucleotide ribosomal RNA is filed under the name uncultured bacterium. Its description in RNAcentral is "partial 16S ribosomal RNA". It matches the Rfam family "Bacterial small subunit ribosomal RNA", at positions 524 to 776 of the family's 1533-position model. The record is from RNAcentral.